CACAAACAUAUGAAGGCGGGGGUGCUGGCAACAGUACUCCUGCUGAAUUAUUUUCACCCAUGUCUUUUUGCGGACUUUUUGUUUCCUGGGCGAGUUUCGCUCGCCACCAGGACCCCCCACAUAAAACCUUUCUUGUUUUUUGCAAUCAGCGUCAGUACAAUAAUUGAAUUUAUCA
RNAcentral lists this unclassified non-coding RNA (175 nucleotides) under soil metagenome. Its description in RNAcentral is "partial internal transcribed spacer 1". The record is from RNAcentral.